RNAcentral lists this transfer RNA (77 nucleotides) under Escherichia coli. Its description in RNAcentral is "tRNA-His". It matches the Rfam family "tRNA". Rfam says of the family: Transfer RNA (tRNA) molecules are approximately 80 nucleotides in length. Their secondary structure includes four short double-helical elements and three loops (D, anti-codon, and T loops). Lineage: Bacteria; Pseudomonadati; Pseudomonadota; Gammaproteobacteria; Enterobacterales; Enterobacteriaceae. RNAcentral also lists the same sequence under 19 other names. The record is from RNAcentral.
GUGGCCUUAUCAUAAAUGGAUAAUGACCCAUGCUGUGAACAUGGUCUAUACGGGUUCGAUUCCCGUAGGUCACCCCA